AGAGUUUGAUCAUGGCUCAGAUUGAACGCUGGCGGAAUGCUUUACACAUGCAAGUCGAACGGCAGCACGGGAGCUUGCUCCUGGUGGCGAGUGGCGAACGGGUGAGUAAUGUAUCGGAACGUACCCCGUCGUGGGGGAUAACUCUCCGAAAGGAGAGCUAAUACCGCAUACGACCCGAGGGUGAAAGCGGGGGACCUGGGGUAACCUGGGCCUCGCGCGAUGGGAGCGGCCGAUAUCGGAUUAGCUAGUUGGUGGGGUAAAGGCCUACCAAGGCGACGAUCCGUAGCGGGUCUGAGAGGACGACCCGCCACACUGGAACUGAGACACGGUCCAGACUCCUACGGGAGGCAGCAGUGGGGAAUUUUGGACAAUGGGCGCAAGCCUGAUCCAGCCAUUCCGCGUGAGUGAAGAAGGCCUUCGGGUUGUAAAGCUCUUUCAGCAGGAACGAAACGGUGGGUCUUAAUACGGCCUGCUAAUGACGGUACCUGCAGAAGAAGCACCGGCUAACUACGUGCCAGCAGCCGCGGUAAUACGUAGGGUGCGAGCGUUAAUCGGAAUUACUGGGCGUAAAGCGUGCGCAGGCGGCGACAUAAGACAGAUGUGAAAUCCCCGGGCUCAACCUGGGAACGGCGUUUGUGACUGUGUGGCUAGAGUGUAGCAGAGGGGGGUGGAAUUCCACGUGUAGCAGUGAAAUGCGUAG
RNAcentral lists this ribosomal RNA (700 nucleotides) under uncultured bacterium. RNAcentral's name for it is "bacterial SSU rRNA". It matches the Rfam family "Bacterial small subunit ribosomal RNA", at positions 8 to 693 of the family's 1533-position model. The record is from RNAcentral.